GGGGGUGAUCGGUUUCGACGGUCGGUAGUGUCUUGAGAGAAGCGGGUCGAGGAAGUGUCCUCAUCUCGUAAACGAUGGAUACGAAACAAUAAGUGCUGAACGUAACAGUACUGAAUCCUUCACCUUGGCUGCUUAAUCCAAGGGAACUGAUUCCGUCAGCCCGCAGUUGCUCUAGCUGCGGAUCCUGGCGUCGUUUUUAGAGCCACUGGAAUCGCCUGGGUUACUUAGGUUGAUUCGAGAUUUUAGGUAACUUUAGCCUCACGUGGCCCGGUCUGUGGGUAGCGUGGGGCCGAGAAUCUAAUACAGACUGCACCCGGAGAAGAAGCAAGUAUUCCCGAUCGGACAGGGGUUCAAUUCCCCUCACCUCCAC
This 370-nucleotide transfer-messenger RNA is filed under the name uncultured Mobiluncus sp. It matches the Rfam family "transfer-messenger RNA". Rfam says of the family: Bacterial tmRNA, also known as 10Sa RNA or SsrA, is named for its dual tRNA and mRNA-like properties. Its role is to liberate the mRNA from a stalled ribosome. To accomplish this part of the tmRNA is used as a reading frame that ends in a translation stop signal. Lineage: Bacteria; Bacillati; Actinomycetota; Actinomycetes; Actinomycetales; Actinomycetaceae. The record is from RNAcentral.